GCGGGAGUAGCAAAGCCUGGCCAAAUGCGCAGGACUUAAGAUCCUGUGGGUUAGAAGCCUGAAACACGCGGAAAGCGCGUUUCGGUUGACCAAUCCCUUCGCCAGUUCGAAUCUGGCCUCCCGCA
RNAcentral lists this transfer RNA (125 nucleotides) under Candidatus Aenigmatarchaeota archaeon. Its description in RNAcentral is "tRNA-Leu". It matches the Rfam family "tRNA". Rfam says of the family: Transfer RNA (tRNA) molecules are approximately 80 nucleotides in length. Lineage: Archaea; Nanobdellati; Candidatus Aenigmatarchaeota. The record is from RNAcentral.